This 57-nucleotide transfer RNA is filed under the name Dictyocaulus viviparus (bovine lungworm). It matches the Rfam family "tRNA", at positions 8 to 63 of the family's 71-position model. From Rfam's summary of the family: Transfer RNA (tRNA) molecules are approximately 80 nucleotides in length. Lineage: Eukaryota; Metazoa; Nematoda; Chromadorea; Rhabditida; Metastrongylidae. The record is from Rfam by way of RNAcentral.
UAGUGCAAUGGUAAGCACGGCAGACUGGAUAUCUGUAAGUGCGGGUACGAGUCCCGA